Long non-coding RNA from Calidris pygmaea (Spoon-billed sandpiper), 299 nucleotides. Lineage: Eukaryota; Metazoa; Chordata; Aves; Charadriiformes; Scolopacidae. The record is from Ensembl.
AGUAGGUUUUGCAUAGCUUUAGGCACAAGGGUAAAUUUCAUGCAGUCUGACUGUCCUCCAACUCAGCUUUGUCCCUGGAUCAUUCCUGUGCACAAGCAGAAGUGAUUUCUCUUCAUGCCUUUAUGAGAAUCCUUCCUGCUAAUACCAUUGCCUGCCUCACAGAUCUACUACUUAAAAGUGUGCUCCCUGAGAAUAUUUCUACACCACUAUGAAGUCUAGCAGAAUUUACUGAGAACUUUUAUGAUGAAGGGAUUUCUACCAUCCCAGCUGUUCUCUGAUUUCUACUGGAAGAGGGAUUA